CCAGUCCUUUCCUGCUUCGGUGUCUCUCCUGCAAGGGCUGCCUCGCUGUCCCUCCUGGGAUCUGGUGAGUCUCCUCUCUCUCUGGGAUCUGGUGGGGGUCCCAGGGCUGGGGCAGGGGAGGGUGCCUGGGGGGCCGGAUCUGCUCAUGCAGGGGGGGGACCCCAAGUCAGGGAGGAGAGGGUCCUGCCAGGGAGGGGCCAGGUCUGCCACGCUCUCCUUCCUGCAGAUCAGAGGAUCCCUGACUCCCACGAAAUCUCCCUUCUUUAAACAAAGGAGUCCCUGGGACUUUAACUCUGUGUGACGUCGCUCAGCCUCAUUGCACAACAGAGGAAACAUGUGCAAAUGGUUUUCCAAAGCUGGACGAGGAGGACGACUAGCCCCCCCCAAAAAAGAAAGGGUGGGAGAGAAAGGCCAGGAAUAAAGAGAGGGAUCCCAGCCCAGAGUCUGGCUGCUGCAUCGCAGACCAGUUUCCCAGUGUCUCCCAGGGCAGCUCCCCACAGAGGCCACUGCAGCAAUCCCCUCGCACCCAGAGCAUGGCAUCCCAGGACCACAUCCUCUCUGCCCCAAAGCGAUUGUUGCUGGAAAACCACCUGGAAACGGGCGCUCCUACUCACCGAGCCUCCAGGGACCUUGGCAUCAGUGGCUGUGUGUGUGUUAAUAAUAAUAAGAAGAAGAAGAAUAUAAGAAUAAAAAAUUACCCUCCUAAAUUUCAAGGGAGAUGUCUUUGGUCCUGCCCACUUGGCCCUCAGGGGGUUGGCCAGAUACAUACCUGGCCCUCAGAGCAAAGAAAAAGGGACCCCGCCCCAGAAGUCUAUUCUGAGAGUGGCAGAGAGUCCAAGUGCAAGAAAAGGAGACGGAAGCAGCGGAGUGGGUGUAGGUGUGGGGGGCAACUCCUGAGGACCCCCACUAGAGCCAAGCAUCCAUUUAUCACAAGAUAGAAACAACUCGUUUGUCAGUAGGUUCCAAUGUCAUGAAUUGACUGGAAGGAUGGAGAAACCAGGUUGAUUAAUCUCGCAGAAAUCCCUUCAGUUGCCUCCACAUUUUGCAUUGCUAGAAGGCUAGAGACUUGUUUCUUCUCUUUCAAAAAGAUAGCUCAUGGUCUGGGAUGUGGUGCAGUCAUGCUUGCUCAGGGAACCAUUCCCCCCCCCCCCCCCGUCCUACAAAUUCUGUAACAGAACAAUGUAUUUGCUUUGUAGGAUUUGCUAGAGCUUCUCAUUUAGACGGGCAGAACUUGGUAGAAGACCAAAGGGUUCCUUCUGAUCUCUCAGAGGCUUCCUGAGAGCACAGAUGGAUGAGCAAGACUCAGCUGGCCCUGGAACAGGAAGAGGCCAUGCUAACCAAACUGGGAGCAGUGGGGGAUUCUGGGAAAACUCUGUGCAGAAGAUCCAUGGUGAGGUGGACACCCUCCGCUCAGAGGUGCAGAGCCAGCAGUUGAGGCAGUUCUGCUGCCAGGAGGCCAAAGGACCGCGAGAGGUUUGCAGCCGACUCUACCACCUUGGCCAUCAGUGGCUGAAGCCAGAAAGGCACACGAAAGCUGAGAUGCUGGACUUGGUGAUCUUGGAGCAUUUCCUGGCUGUCCUUCCCCCGGAGAUGGAGAGCUGGGUGAGGGACUGUGGAGCGGAGACCAGUUCGCAGGCGGUGGCCCUGGCCGAAGGUUUCCUCCUGAGUCAGGCAGAGGAGAGAAAGCAGGAACAGAGUAAACAGGUGAGAGAGACUUUCCUCUGGAUACUCCCAAGGGGCUCCAAACAGGACAGAGAACAUCCCAUAAUGGUCUGCUGAUGGCCCAUUUUCUGGGAAAGCAUCCAUGGAAUGAGAUCUCGCACCCUUGAAGUCUUUGUCAUUCUCUUUCUAGUAUUUCUCCCCAUUCUCUGUUUUGAAUCCUUGUUUCUUUCUCAGGGAAAGGAUCUCUUUGCAGAAAUGGACCUGGAUUCCUGUGAGGCAGAGAGGCCUCCGUUGGACACCAGAGAGAGGCCACUGGGUAAGGAGGAAGGUGGUUUUUCUCCACUGGUCUCAUUCUGUUGGUUUCCCAACUCAUCUGAGGGUUCUUUUCAUCUUGUUUUCGGGGGAGACAGUUGGGAGGAAUCGUCCAGAGGAGGGGAGAUGUAUUUCUGCACAAACAAACAUAUGAAAUGGGCACAAACCUCCAAAUACUCUCAGUAGGUAAGUCUUUCUCAAAGGCCCAUCUGUAGUUAGAGAUGCCCUGUUUCACCUGUGAGAGAAGCAGGCUCUCCUGGGGUCCUGCUUACCUUUUUUCUCUUGCAGGUGGCAGAAGGAUGCCGGCAAGACCUCCUGAUCCGCCUUUUCAUGGGGACAGAAGGGAAGCAGCGGCUGUGGAAGCAGAUCAGGUCAGGGGAAGCUGUCUUGUGGGGACAGAGGCCGAGGGAUGGAGCAAUGUCAUGGACUGGUUGGGCGCAGAGGAACGGUGGGAGGAAGCAGCCUGGGAACCAGGAAAGGAAGACGGCUCAGAUCCGAAGGAGUGGAGGUGGAGGAAGGAUGAGCGGUCAGAGGGAGAAGAGGGAGAAGUCUGGGAAGAGGAGAUGUCAGAAGCCGAAGAAGUAACAGGGUUUAGUGAGCUGGGAGAUUCUGUGGCAGAAUGCAGCGCAGAAUCAGAGGCAGAAGAGGAAGGAGGUGAGUGGGAGAGGAAGGUCGAGAGGCUGAUGUGAAUCAGGAGAAGGAAGAGCCACUGAUGGCUCCCUCUCCUUUUGCCAGAAGCCACCCUCCCUGCUUGUCUCUCAGAGCCAGGAGACCCCCUGCAAUGCAGGAAUCUCUGCUAGAUCAUCCAAGACAGAUGGCCAUCCAAAAGAGGCUUAUUUUAUUUCUAGAUUGAUAACUGAAUGCAAAAAUUGGUUUCUAAGCAGUGGACAAAUGAGAACAAAUAGUGGCCUGGAUUCAACUAACCAGCCCCAUCCACUGCAAAAUUGGACCUGCCCAGCAAUCCUCCCCGUCCCCCGCUCCAUGCUCCCCUGAACCCCUUGAAUUUGGCUCUAGGGCAUUGGGAGGGAACUCCCCAGAAGAGCUCAGGAGGAGAGGAGAAAGUGGAUCCUUCCAUCAGGCAAACUGGAAAGCUUGGGUAGGCAGAAUGAUUUGAAAACCACAUGUGGAGUACCACCUGUUUGCACAAAGACAAAUACCCAUAAUUAAAACGCAGAAUAAAAUAAGCAUCCAUAAUUAAAAUGUGCUGCAAAACAGUCCUAUUGAAACAACACAGCAAUUUACAGGAUGGAAACCACAGAGCAUUGUGGAGCAGAUCAUAUUUCUGCUGUCUCAGAGGAGGACAUUUCCCUUUUUCUUUUAGGGUCCAGUGUGCUUUGAAGAUGUUGCUGUUCGUUUCACGGACGAGGAGUGGGUGUUGCUGGAUCCUGACCAGAGAGCUCUGCAUAAGGACGUUAUGGAGGAGAAUCGUGGGAUUGUGGCCUCUCUUGGUAAGGCUCCCUGUGGGAUCGUCAUAUCUGCCUGGAAAUUCAAAAAAUACGUCUAUAGACCAACCUCACAUAUUUUCACAGAGCUCAACAGCGCCCCCUAUAACACCUGGGAACCUAACACUC
Molecule: non-coding RNA, 3545 nt
Organism: Podarcis lilfordi (Lilford's wall lizard)
Lineage: Eukaryota; Metazoa; Chordata; Lepidosauria; Squamata; Lacertidae
Source: the annotation of a GenBank genome assembly